UACGUAGGGUGCGAGCGUUGUCCGGAAUUAUUGGGCGUAAAGGGCUCGUAGGCGGUUUGUCGCGUCGGGAGUGAAAACGCCGUGCUUAACACGGCGCUUGCUUUCGAUACGGGCAGACUAGAGGUAUUCAGGGGAGAACGGAAUUCCUGGUGUAGCGGUGAAAUGCGCAGAUAUCAGGAGGAACACCGGUGGCGAAGGCGGUUCUCUGGGAAUGACCUGGCGCUGAGGAGCGAAAGUGUGGGGAGCGAACAGG
RNAcentral lists this ribosomal RNA (253 nucleotides) under uncultured bacterium. RNAcentral's name for it is "partial 16S ribosomal RNA". It matches the Rfam family "Bacterial small subunit ribosomal RNA", at positions 524 to 776 of the family's 1533-position model. The record is from RNAcentral.